Molecule: long non-coding RNA, 3544 nt
Organism: Triticum aestivum (bread wheat)
Lineage: Eukaryota; Viridiplantae; Streptophyta; Magnoliopsida; Poales; Poaceae
Exons: 3
Source: RefSeq, a predicted model, not a curated record
UGGGACCCCCCACAUUAUCCCCAACCUCCAGCGUAGAGCAAUGGAGGGACGCUGCGCUCGAUGCCCAGACCAGCCAGCCGCUUCCCUCGCAGAUGGGGCUUAUCUGCAGCCACCAGAGCCUCUACCACGCCUAUAAAACCCCUUGGACGCCCUCUCUCAAUCCCGCCGUCUUGCAUCAUCCCCCGCCGCUCGCACUGGGUGCCCUCGCCGUUUGAAUCUAGUCGAAGCCGAGCCGCUCCUCCGAUGAUUACGUCGCCGGAUCCGCCGGAGAAGCCACCCACUCGAUGCCGAGCCGCCAGAGCUCGCGCAACUCUCCAGAGCCCCACCAUCUUCGUCCCGUCCCUUCCAGACAACGCCGACGCCCCGCGCCACCACUCCGCAAAAGCCCUCGACACGCCGGACCCCGCUGCCUCCUCCCCCCGCCGGAACCUGCCGGAGCCAUCGUCCCGCUGACGCCGAGCCCCUACCAGACGCCGUUGCCUCUAUUGCCUGAAGUGCGAAGCAAAUUACUAUCAUUCUCUAGAAUUGAACCACUAGUAGCAAGGCAAGUUCAUAUUUGACCAUACUUUUAAUUACCUAUGUUUUUUAUAUGCACUUAGUCCUUUGUGGUAGGAUUGCAUGGUAGGGAUUUAUGCCGAAUGGCUAUGAGCUUACCUAGUAGUUCCAUUGAGGUAGGUCUAAACUAUACAACCUUUGUCACCGUUGUGUAAGUUUGUUUUUUCCUCGCUGAUGUAGACGUGGAUUGGGAAGUGUUCACGGCGAGACAUGAGUGACAAAGUAGUAAUUAGGACCAAGACUUUUAAAUGAACUACCUGGGCGGAAUUGGUUUGGAUGGUGGCGAAGUAUAGUGGGAGCAUGCAUGGGAAAUCUAUGGUGGUGCACCACUAGUAGUCUGCCGCCCAGGCUCAAAGGGAUCAAACAUGUUUUCAUGUCUAGAAGCUUACGUGUGCAGCCACAAGCCAAUAUGGGCUCUGGCUUAGUUGAGUAGUUAGUGUGACCUCUUCCGGGAUAGGCUAGCCGAUGUAGAAUGAGUAGGUGUACCAGCCAAUCCCUGGGUUAAGGGGAAAAUACUUUUGAAAGACUAGGUCUCGGUCAUCCUAUUCUGAAACGCCAGGCAGUGCAAGAACUUCAAGGGAGGCGAUUGAGUCUUGUGGGGAAAAGUGUGCAAACCUCUACAAAGUGUUAAAACCUAAUCGAUUAGCCAUGUCCCCGGUUACGGACAACUUGGGCAUCUAGUAGUGGAAAUGUUGGGAGAUCUCGUCACUCUUAAUUUAAACAGUUGGGUUUUAAAUGAAACUUUGGGAAUGGACUGAGUUGGGUUUGCCAACUCAUCCUAACCGGUGGGACCCCCAACUUAUCGUCCCCAACCUCCCGCGCAGAGCACGGGAGGGAUGCCACGCUCAGCGCCCGAACCCGCCGGCCGCUUCCCUCGUGGAUGGGGCUUACCCGCUAGCCACCGAAGCCUCUACCGCGCCUAUAAAACCCCUCGGACGCCCUCUCACAAUCCCGCCAUCUCGCAUCAUCCCUCGCCUCUUGCACUGGGCGCCCUCGCCGUUUGAAUCUCUCCGGAGCAGUGCCACUGCACCGACGAUUACGUCGUCGGUGGUGCACCCGAGCCCUAGUUUUCUUUGUCAAUUUAUUCCCCUUGUCAGUGCAUAUCCGUUUAACAUAUUUUCUUCCCCUAGGAUCCGUCGGCGAAGCCACCCACUCGAUGCCGAGCCGCCAGAGCUCACGCAACUCGCCGAAGCCCCGUCGUCUUUGCCCCGCCCCUUCCAGACCAAGCCGACACCCCACACCACCACUCCCCGGACGGCCUCGACACGCCGGACCCCGCCACCGGAACCCGCCGGAGCCGCCGCCCCUCCGACGCCAAGCCCCUGCCGGACACCGUUGCAUCUAUGAGCCGCCCCCUCGUUCAUGUAGAUUAGUUUUUUUAAUUUGAACCGGUACGCGGUUAACUGCGAGUGUUGUUUAAAAUGUUCGGUUUUAUUUUAAAUCGACCAGCCAGUAGUUUAGCCGCAGUGUGCCAUUUUUAUUAUUUACUAGCCAUUCGCUGGUUUACCCACGUAACACACACUUUUUAGCCAACCAGAGGCCGCCACGUGGCCAGGGACCUUUGUGUGUUUAUUUUGCUUCACGGUUAGUCCCUCUAAAUUGCCGAUUAGUUCCUGAUCUUAGAAUAGCUACAACUUUUAAACCGUAGGUCCAAAUUCAAUGAAACCAAUGGCAAAUUCUUCGUAUCGAUUAGAUCUACCCAGAGGACCUAUCUUUGCAAACUUUUGUAUUCAAAAUUUGAAUGUUUUAAAUUCAAAUUUAAACUCUAUUCGGCUAUAUCUCCUAAACCAUAGCCCCGUUUGAAUUGAUUCUUUUUGCACUUUGUCACCAUAGCUUAACCCUAUGACUUGGACUGUUGCCACAAUAUUUUUUACACGGCUGGGAUCUAUCCAUGGUAGUUUUAUUACUAUGCCAUGUAUGCACAUUAUUUCACAUCACUUUUCUAACCAUUUGUCACAUGUUGUUUUGCACUUAGAAAUUUUUGUGAUGGUUGAGUGUAUUGGGUUUUCUUUUGGUUUUUUUCGAGUCUUUUUGUUGUGCAUGUUAUUUUGGUUCUCUGGAGUGAUUGCUUAUGUGAGUCCAUUUACUUUGACGAUAGAUUGCCCGAAGUGUGAAGCAAAUUACUAUCAUUCUCUAGAAUUGAACCACCAGCACCAAGGCAAGUUCACAUUUGACCAUACUUUUAAUUACCUAUGUUUUCUUAUAUGCACUUAGUCCUUUGUGGUAGGAUUGCAUGGUAGGGAUUUAUGUCGAAUGGCUAUGCUCUUAUCUAGUAGUUCGUUUGAGGUAGGUCUGAACUAUACAACCUUUGUCACCACUGUGUACGUUUGUUUUUGCCUCGCUGAUGUAGACGUGGAUUGGGAAGUGGUCACGACGAGGCAUGAGUGAAAAAGUAGUAACUAGGACCAAGACUUUUAAAUGAACUACCUGGGCGAAAUUGGUUUGAAUGGUGGCGAAGUACAUUGGGAGCAUGCAUGGGAAAUCCAUGGUGGUGCACCACUAGUGGUCUGUCGCCUAGGCUCAAACGAAUCAAACGUGUUUUCAUGUGUAGAAGCUUGCAUGUGCAACUAUAAGCCGAUAUGGGCUCUGGUUUAGUUGAGUAGUUAGUGUGACCUCUUCCGGGAUAGGCUAGCAGAUGUAGAAUGAGUAGGUGUACCGGCCUAUCCGUGGGUUAAGGGGAAAUACUUUCGAAAGACUAGGUCUCGGUCAUCCUAUUCUCAAACGCUAGGCAGUGCGAGAACUUCAAGGGAGGCGAUCGAGUCUUGUGGAUAAAAGUGCACAGACCUUUGUAGAGUGUUAAAACCUAAUCAAUUAGCCGUAUCCCGGUUACAGACAACUUGAGCAUCUAGUAGUGGACAUGUCGAGAGAUCUCGUCACUCUUAAUUUAAACAGUUGGGUUUUAAAUGAAACUUUGGGAAUGGAUUUAGUUGGGUUUGCCAACUCAUCCUAUGCUAUUACUGUAGUGGUAGAAUAAUAUCUUUUAUUCUAG